GCUGCUUGAUGAUGACACCUUGCAAAUUGUAGUUGGUCCUUCAUUUGCACAGUUGAUGCAAACUUUUUUCAAGACGGGUCUUAGAGCAGC
Small nucleolar RNA from Sinocyclocheilus anshuiensis, 90 nucleotides. Its record names the gene SNORD21. It matches the Rfam family "Small nucleolar RNA SNORD21". From Rfam's summary of the family: U21 is a member of the C/D class of snoRNA which contain the C (UGAUGA) and D (CUGA) box motifs. U21 is encoded within an intron of the gene for ribosomal protein L5 in mammals, but within introns of the ADP ribosylation factor gene in Drosophila. NCBI's taxonomy places the organism in Eukaryota, Metazoa, Chordata, Actinopteri, Cypriniformes, Cyprinidae. The record is from Ensembl.